UUGUCAGGUGAGAUAAUCCUUACCUUUUCCUCCUUUGGGAGGUCAUAUAGAACAGGAUGAUUGGAGUUCAUAUGAUAUGUGAUCAGCAUCUCUAUGUAAUCAGGACUUAAAACACCUUGAUUGCUUCUAUCUAAU
This is a small nucleolar RNA of Cynocephalus volans (Philippine flying lemur), 135 nucleotides long. RefSeq annotates it as U8 small nucleolar RNA. The transcript has a single exon. Lineage: Eukaryota; Metazoa; Chordata; Mammalia; Dermoptera; Cynocephalidae. The record is from RefSeq and is a predicted model, not a curated record.